This 902-nucleotide long non-coding RNA is filed under the name Ananas comosus (pineapple). RNAcentral's name for it is "long non-coding RNA (ACOM_LNC016038)". The record is from RNAcentral. Lineage: Eukaryota; Viridiplantae; Streptophyta; Magnoliopsida; Poales; Bromeliaceae.
AAUCUACUAUUCGAUUUUGCAAAAUUUUGAUUUUACCAUCCAACAAUUCAAUUUGUUCGAUUUGAGUAAGUCAACAGUAUUUUAACUUCAAAAUUUAUACUAAUUUUUUGUUUUGAUAAAUUUAUAGUUACGAAAAUUGCAUAAAGUAUACUAAACGAACCUGUAAAAAUAAACGACGCAUUUAAAUUUUUAAGUCAAAGUACAGCUGAUUGACUCAAAUCAAAUAAAUUGAAACGUUGGAUAGUAAAUCAAAAUUUUAAACGAUUGAAUAGCCGAUUCAAAAUAAUUUAUAAUUUAGAUAAGUUCUGUACGUUUAAUAAAAAACCGGUAAAACUAGUAAAGAUGUAUGAAUUCUUGGAUUAAAGGAUUGUAAGAUUACAACUAGUUUCAGAACUAGCAAUGCUCAGUUUUCAGCAUUGCUGCAGGCUCUCCCACAAGAUCUGAAUCCCAUCUUGCGCUGCUGUCAGAACUGCAGGAAAAAAUAAAAGUUUUUCAGCGAAGUAUGACGUCGCAUGACGGCAACACACUUCCAUAAGAGGGAAAUACUCUAGAGAAUAAAGCUGAGGUGACGUACAGAGCAUUAUAAUAUACUAAAAAUUAUUGAGUAAUGUACUCGGAUAAUCCCUGUAGUAUCCCAAUAUUAAUGAGAAUUAGAUUACUAAACUAUUAAUAAUACUAAGCAUUUGAUGCUAUUAAAUUUUCAAUCAUUAGAUGAAAAAAUGUGCGGUUAGCAUAAUAAUAAUUUUCUAAAAUUGAGCGGAUGGUUGAUCGAAUAAUAUAAUCUAACGGAUGAAAACUCAAUAGCACCAAGCACUUGAUACUAUCGAUAGUAUAAAAGCCGGACUCAUAUUAUAAGCUGGUUCUUGUAAUUGUUCUUUAAAUAUUUGGUUUUUGGAAUUAAA